Molecule: ribosomal RNA, 700 nt
Filed under: uncultured beta proteobacterium
Lineage: Bacteria; Pseudomonadati; Pseudomonadota; Betaproteobacteria
Description: bacterial SSU rRNA
Rfam family: Bacterial small subunit ribosomal RNA
Source: RNAcentral
AGUGGCGAACGGGCGAGUAAUAUAUCGGAACGUGCCCAGUCGUGGGGGAUAACGUAGCGAAAGUUACGCUAAUACCGCAUACGAUCUACGGAUGAAAGCGGAGGAUCGCAAGACCUCGCGCGAUUGGAGCGGCCGAUAUCAGAUUAGGUAGUUGGUGGGGUAAAGGCUCACCAAGCCAACGAUCUGUAGCUGGUCUGAGAGGACGACCAGCCACACUGGAACUGAGACACGGUCCAGACUCCUACGGGAGGCAGCAGUGGGGAAUUUUGGACAAUGGACGCAAGUCUGAUCCAGCCAUUCCGCGUGCAGGAUGAAGGCCCUCGGGUUGUAAACUGCUUUUGUACGGAACGAAAAGGUUUCCAUUAAUACUGGGAGCUCAUGACGGUACCGUAAGAAUAAGCACCGGCUAACUACGUGCCAGCAGCCGCGGUAAUACGUAGGGUGCAAGCGUUAAUCGGAAUUACUGGGCGUAAAGCGUGCGCAGGCGGUUAUGUAAGACAGAGGUGAAAUCCCCGGGCUCAACCUGGGAACUGCCUUUGUGACUGCAUAGCUAGUGUACGGUAGAGGGGGAUGGAAUUCCGCGUGUAGCAGUGAAAUGCGUAGAUAUGCGGAGGAACACCGAUGGCGAAGGCAAUCCCCUGGACCUGUACUGACGCUCAUGCACGAAAGCGUGGGGAGCAAACAGGAUUAGAUACCCUGG